AUUGAACGCUGGCGGCAGGCCUAACACAUGCAAGUCGAGCGGAUGAAGGGAGCUUGCUCCUGGAUUCAGCGGCGGACGGGUGAGUAAUGCUUAGGAAUCUGCCUGGUAGUGGGGGAUAACGUCCGGAAACGGGCGCUAAUACCGCAUACGUCCUGAGGGAGAAAGUGGGGGAUCUUCGGACCUCACGCUAUCAGAUGAGCCUAGGUCGGAUUAGCUAGUUGGUGGGGUAAAGGCCUACCAAGGCGACGAUCCGUAACUGGUCUGAGAGGAUGAUCAGUCACACUGGAACUGAGACACGGUCCAGACUCCUACGGGAGGCAGCAGUGGGGAAUGUUGGACAAUGGGCGAAAGCCUGAUCCAGCCAUGCCGCGUGUGUGAAGAAGGUCUUCGGAUUGUAAAGCACUUUAAGUUGGGAGGAAGGGCAGUAAGUUAAUACCUUGCUGUUUUGACGUUACCAACAGAAUAAGCACCGGCUAACUUCGUG
Molecule: ribosomal RNA, 484 nt
Filed under: uncultured bacterium
Lineage: Bacteria
Description: partial 16S ribosomal RNA
Rfam family: Bacterial small subunit ribosomal RNA
Source: RNAcentral